AUUGAACGCUGGCGGCAUGCUUUACACAUGCAAGUCGAACGGCAGCGGGGUAGUGCUUGCUCUACUCCCGGCGAGUGGCGAGCGGGUUAGUAAUGUAUCUGACCGUUCCGAGGAGUGGGGGAUAACCAAUCGAAGCAUUUGCUACUACCGCAUAGAGUGUGAGGGAGGAGGCGGUGGAGCGCAAAACCUCGCGUUGUUCCAGCGGCCGGUUAAGGAUGGGCUAGUGGGUGGGGUAAAGGCCUACCAAGGCGACGAUCAGUAGCGGGUCUGAGAGGAGGAUCCGCCACACUGGGACUGAGACACGGACCAGACUCCUACGGGAGGCAGCAGUGGGGAAUUUUGGACAAUGGGGGCAAACCUGAUCCAGCCAUGCCGCGUGUAUGAAGAAGGCCUUCGGGUUGUAAAGUACUUUUGUUAGGGAAGAAAAGCGGUGAGCUAAUACCACGCUGUGCUGACGUUACCUACAGAAUAAGCACCGGCUAACUACGUG
This 490-nucleotide ribosomal RNA is filed under the name uncultured bacterium. RNAcentral's name for it is "partial 16S ribosomal RNA". It matches the Rfam family "Bacterial small subunit ribosomal RNA", at positions 30 to 507 of the family's 1533-position model. The record is from RNAcentral.